Anopheles funestus (African malaria mosquito) is the source of this 2753-nucleotide RNA transcript. It is a transcript of the gene named 28S rRNA (cytosine-C(5))-methyltransferase, with no coding region annotated. The transcript has 4 exons. The record is from RefSeq and is a predicted model, not a curated record. Lineage: Eukaryota; Metazoa; Arthropoda; Insecta; Diptera; Culicidae.
AGCACAGGUAAAUACAAUGUUGAGUUGGGCUUGUAGGUAGAAGAAUCAACCGCGCGUUAUCGUCGGCACAAAAUUUGAGAAGAUCGCUGUAAAUAAUUGGAAACCACCGAACAUGGCGCAAGAUACAGCAGUAAAACGAGGCCACAAAAUACCGGUUCCAAGCAACUAUCGGAACGCAGCCAAGUAUGUGCAGAUUGCAAAGGAGGAAAAGCGUAAUAUUAUGCCGCUCCUUGAGCAGGACAAACAUUUCCGUGCGGGCCGAACGGUAGUGGGCCGUGUGCUGAACAACAUGCCCAUAAUCGAUUUAAUCUACAAUGAGCUCGAUCUGGCCACGAAGGAACCGCGUAUAAAACAGUGGCUGGCGAAGGUUAUGAUCGCGGAAGUGCUGUUCGGCAAUGGUCGAUUGGUUGGAAACUCACGACCGGUAGAAUCCAUGAAGGCCUACGUGGAUCAGAUGCACAUGUUGCUAGACAAACAUAUGAAGGAUAUAAAAAAAAAUGAGGAAAAAUUUAAAGAACCGCGCUUUGUACGUAUCAACACGAACGUGCUGAAUUUAGAGGGCGCGAAGCACCUGCUAGCCGAGGAACAAUGGAAUCUGGUGGAAGAAAUUUUCCCCAAUUACCAGUCGUUCCUGGAGCGCGUCAAGGAGCUAAGGAAUGACGAGUACAUGGAGGAUUUUCAUUUUCCUGAUAUGCUAGUGUUCCCGUACGAGGCCAAAUGGUACUGGUCACGGGCACAGCAUCUUCAUGGUAAAUUUCUACUGCAAAACAAGGCUUGUCUUCUACCGACGUAUCUGCUGAAGCCGCCGAAAAAAUCUGUCGUGCUAGAUAUGUGUGCCGCACCCGGACUUAAGACAACGCAUUUGGCCAGCUUGAUGAAGAACAAGGGUCGUAUAUACGCAGUCGAGCGAGAUCACACCCGCUACACGCAGCUGUGCAAGCUCGUUAGUCCGUACGGUGUGAUUAAAACGAUCCACAGCGACUGUCUCAAAGUGACCCACGAACAAGUCCCGGGCGUCCAGUACAUACUGAUCGAUCCGAGCUGUUCCGGUUCUGGGAUGCUUCAGCGCCAGCUGGUACCGGAGGAGGUCGAUGAGCAACGGCUAUACAAGCUAGCCGGUUUGCAGUACAAGCUGUUGAUGCACGCGUUGAAUAACUUCCCGGAUGUACGCCGCAUCGUGUACUCUACCUGUUCGGUGUACGUGCAGGAAAACGAAGAGGUAGUGCAGAGUGUGCUGCGCCACACUGCCCACUUUCGGUUGCUCGAUGCACGGAAGGAGCUGGGCAAGGAAUGGCUGAACGUUGGUUCACCCAAAUAUCGCGAUAUCGGUGAGCGCUGCCUGUACGCGAAGACGGUCGAUGAUCUGACGAUAGGAAUGUUUGUGGCGGUCUUUGAACGGUGCCCGGAGGGUGUUGAAAAUAAGAUUUAUUUGGAGCACGAAAAGCAGAAGCAGAGUUACGAGCGUUGCAUGCAAAAGUGGCAAAGAAAUGAACAGAUGGAACAGAAAUCUAAAAUGACAGAAGAAAAUACAGUUCAGGAACCGAAUGAAGAACAUGAAGGAGAACAGGAAGAAGUACAAGUAGAGAAACAAACAUCUAAGAAACGUAAGAAAGCCAGGAUAGAGGAAAACAUGGUUGAAGAAAAGAAGGAUUUGUUAAGAAAUGAACAGAUGGAACAGAAACCUAAAAUGACAGAAGAAAAUACAGUUCAGGAACCGAAUGAGGAACAGGAAGGAGAACAGGAAGAAGUACAAGUAGAGAAACAAACAUCUAAGAAACGUAAGAAAGCAAGGAUAGAGGAAAACAUGGUUGAAGAAGAGAAGGAGCAGAAAGAAGCAAAGGAGAAAUCCGCUUUCAAAAAACGCAAGGAAAAGUCUUAAAGAUCAGAUAGGGAAAACAAUAGUUGACAAAAAAACAAUCAGCCUCAUAUAAACGUAAGUAUAACUUGGAGAAGAUCAAGUUGAAGUUUUCACAAACAGGAGAAAAACAAUAAUGACGGAAGCAGAAGCACACUAAAGGAUGAAUUUACAAUGAUGAAUUGUAUUGGAGAUCGUCCAGACGGAACUCUAACAAACACUUGUGUUUCUCCGAACAAACGAACGAACGAAACAAAGGAUGAAAAGGAAAUGUCACGGAAAACAUUGCAAUUUUUGGUGGAAAAGCACAAUUGUUCAUCUGCUAAAGAAGAGGUAAGACAUGGUUAGAAAAAAUAUUAUGUUCUACUUGCCGUGGGAUCAUUGAAGGGUUACUUGUAAUAGAAAUUAUUUAAAAAUAUAAUAAGAUAGAGAUAAUUUACCUGAGCUUUGAGGCAAACUUUUGUUUUUGACUCUGGGUAAAUGAAAGUUUGUUCGUAGGACACUUACCUUUCAUACCUUUGGAAGACAAAACUGGUUCUUCGCGGUCACUUUACUUUUACAUACUGGCAUUUUUCAUUGACAUAAACCCUUUAAUUCACUUUAGCACAUUUAAAACAUCAAACACGCCUACAAUGGCCACAUUUGUCAAUACACGAUUUCACGCAAUAAGCAAUAAGCUCAUUAAGAAACGGAUAUAAUUUUUUUUAACAUAUAUAAACAAUUCUCCAGCGGUUCCGGUUAAAAUGUACUUCAUCAAUCAUAGGAAUUCUAUGUUUAAGGAACAACAAAGGGAGUGAUUGCCAUUCCCGAUUUUUUCAAAUACAAAAAAGAUGGCAAAAGCUUUUGCUGACAAGAAAGAUAUAUAAAUAGAAGGAUAUUUCCGGUUAUCUACUCAAAA